This 468-nucleotide ribosomal RNA is filed under the name uncultured bacterium. RNAcentral's name for it is "partial 16S ribosomal RNA". It matches the Rfam family "Bacterial small subunit ribosomal RNA", at positions 28 to 507 of the family's 1533-position model. The record is from RNAcentral.
GACGAACGCUGGCGGCGUGCUUAACACAUGCAAGUCGAACGGAAAGGCCCUGCUUUUGCGGGGUGCUCGAGUGGCGAAGGGGUGAGUAACACGCGUGUAACCUGCCCUUGACUGUCGGGUAACUUCAGGAAACUGGGGCUAAUACCGGAUAGGAGCUCCUGCUGCAUGGUGGGGGUUGGAAAGUUUCGGCGGUUGGGGAUGGACUCGCGGCUUAUCAGCUUGCUGGUGGGGUAGUGGCUUACCAAGGCUUUGACGGGUAGCCGGCCUGAGAGGGUGACCGGCAUCCGGGGUCCUCCGUAACGGCCCAGAAUGCAACAGCACCAACACGCGCGGAAUCUUGCAGAACAGGAGAUGCCGUAGUACGAUAACCCCGCGUACGGGAUCCUGUCUUACGGGUAGAAAACCGAUUUCGUCUAAGCCAAACAGUCAGUGACGGUAAUGGGUCAGAAAGCCCCGGCUAACUACGUG